RNAcentral lists this ribosomal RNA (575 nucleotides) under uncultured organism. RNAcentral's name for it is "bacterial SSU rRNA". It matches the Rfam family "Bacterial small subunit ribosomal RNA", at positions 250 to 839 of the family's 1533-position model. The record is from RNAcentral.
UGGUGGGGUAAUAGCCUACCAAGCCAAUGACGGGUAGCCGGUGUGAGAGCACGACCGGCCACAAGGUCACUGAAACACGGGGCCUACACCUACGGGUGGCAGCAACCGGGAAUAUUGCGCAAUGGGCGAAAGCCUGACGCAGCGACACCGCGUGUGGGAAGAAGCUUUUCGGAGUGUAAACCACUGUGGCAAGGGAAGAAUUUUUGACGGUACCUUGCUAGAAAGCACCUGCUAACUACGUGCCAGAAGCCUCGGUAAUACGUAGGGUGCAAGCGUUAUCCGGAUUUAUUGGGCGUAAAGAGUUCCGCAGGCGUCUUUACAAGUUUCUUGUUUAAGCCUGAGGCUCAACUUCAGAAAAGCAAGAAAAACUGUAAAGAUUGAGUUUGUUUGGGGAAGCUGGAAUUCUCGGUGGAGGGGUGAAAUCCGUAGAUAUCGAGAGGAACACCAAUCGCGAAGGCAAGCUUCUAAAACAAUACUGACGCUAAGGGACGAAAGCUUGGGUAGCAAAAGGGAUUAGAGACCCCUGUAGUCCAAGCCGUAAACUUUCCUCGCUAGUUGCCUGGUUAAUAAUGCAU